GAGGGUAUAGUGCAGUGGUAGAGUGCCUGCUUAACAGGCACAAGGUCCUGGGUUCAAUCCCCAGUAUCACCA
This 72-nucleotide transfer RNA is filed under the name Camelus bactrianus (Bactrian camel). It matches the Rfam family "tRNA". From Rfam's summary of the family: Transfer RNA (tRNA) molecules are approximately 80 nucleotides in length. Their secondary structure includes four short double-helical elements and three loops (D, anti-codon, and T loops). Further hydrogen bonds mediate the characteristic L-shaped molecular structure. tRNAs have two regions of fundamental functional importance: the anti-codon, which is responsible for specific mRNA codon recognition, and the 3' end, to which the tRNAs corresponding amino acid is attached (by aminoacyl-tRNA synthetases). tRNAs cope with the degeneracy of the genetic code in two manners: having more than one tRNA (with a specific anti-codon) for a particular amino acid; and 'wobble' base-pairing, i.e. permitting non-standard base-pairing at the 3rd anti-codon position. Lineage: Eukaryota; Metazoa; Chordata; Mammalia; Artiodactyla; Camelidae. The record is from Rfam by way of RNAcentral. RNAcentral also lists the same sequence under 2 other names.